This is a long non-coding RNA of Sinocyclocheilus anshuiensis, 440 nucleotides long. RefSeq lists it as uncharacterized. Lineage: Eukaryota; Metazoa; Chordata; Actinopteri; Cypriniformes; Cyprinidae. The record is from RefSeq and is a predicted model, not a curated record. The transcript has 3 exons.
CAGCAAAUGCAAUUUGAUGAUUUUCAGUCAUAUUCACUGACAUGAUACAAUAUUACUGAGCCUCUAGCUUUAGCAUUGCUCUGUUGAUCACGACCAUUAGAUAUGUAGUGACGUCUUGCAGUCAAAAGUUACAGUUGACUCAGGUAUUGCCAUUAAGGGCUGUAUCUGCUAUUGCCUCUCGUCCUCAAUCCCCCUCACCUGUGUCUUAAUGUAGCCUUAGAACUGCAUUUAUGGAUGGAACAUAAUAAAGACUACCUGGCCUUAAAAGAUGCAGUAUUUAACCACAACAUGCAAGUCACUACAAAUCAGGCCAUACGUUUGUGCCAUAAAACUACCUCCUGAGAAUGUAGGAGUAUCCUGGAACUGACAGAUGGCUUUUUUCUUUUUGGCCUCCAACUCAAACUUGUACUGUGUAAGUUGACAAUCAUCUUUUUCUUUUC